UACGUAGGGGGCAAGCGUUAUCCGGAUUUACUGGGUGUAAAGGGAGCGUAGACGGCGCGGCAAGUCUGAAGUGAAAGGCAGGGGCUUAACCCCUGAACUGCUUUGGAAACUGCCAUGCUAGAGUGCUGGAGAGGUAAGUGGAAUUCCUAGUGUAGCGGUGAAAUGCAUAGAUAUCACGCAGAACCCCGAUUGCGAAGGCAGCAUACCGGCGCCCUACUGACGCUGAGGCACGAAAGUGCGGGUAUCGAACAGG
This 253-nucleotide ribosomal RNA is filed under the name uncultured Lachnospiraceae bacterium. RNAcentral's name for it is "partial 16S ribosomal RNA". It matches the Rfam family "Bacterial small subunit ribosomal RNA", at positions 524 to 776 of the family's 1533-position model. Lineage: Bacteria; Bacillati; Bacillota; Clostridia; Lachnospirales; Lachnospiraceae. The record is from RNAcentral.